Molecule: non-coding RNA, 531 nt
Organism: Sorex fumeus (smoky shrew)
Lineage: Eukaryota; Metazoa; Chordata; Mammalia; Eulipotyphla; Soricidae
Source: the annotation of a RefSeq genome assembly
GAUGUUGCCAUGGGCUCCAGGCUCCUCUGCUGGGUGGCCCUUGGUCUCCUGGGAGCAGGCCCUGCAGAUGCUGAGGUCACUCAAAGCCCCAGACACCUGGUCAAAGCAAGGAGUCAGCCAGUGACCCUGACAUGCAACUAUGAAUCCGGGCAUGAGUCUGUGUACUGGUACCAACAGGCCCUCGGGAAAAGUCUUGACUUCCUUGUUUCAUAUUACGGUGGGCAAGAGAGUCAGAAAGGCAGCCUCUCUGAUCGCUUCUCGGUCCAACAGUUCAGUGAGGACUCCAGCUCUAUGCUGAUCAUGAGCUCUGUGGAAAUGGCCGACUCUGCCCUGUACCUCUGUGCCAGCAGCUUAUCACAGCCCUGCCUGCUCAGCUUCCUCCUGCAUAAAAAUACCCCUGGCCACCCAGGAAGUGGCAGUGAAGGGGAGCCACUAGGCAGUCCCACCUGUAUGAGGACAGUCAUUCUGUGUAUGGGGAGGAUUCAAUAUUUCAGAGUCAAGCAGGAUAUGUACUGUUGCACCUGUUUUUAA